This 311-nucleotide ribosomal RNA is filed under the name Florenciella parvula. RNAcentral describes it as "partial Bacterial small subunit ribosomal RNA". It matches the Rfam family "Bacterial small subunit ribosomal RNA", at positions 15 to 354 of the family's 1533-position model. Lineage: Eukaryota; Dictyochophyceae; Florenciellales. The record is from RNAcentral.
GAUCCUGGCUCAGAACGAACGCUGGCGGCAGGCCUAACACAUGCAAGUCGAGCGGCACCUUCGGGUGUAGCGGCGGACGGGUUAGUAACGCGUGGGAACGUACCCUUUUCUACGGAAUAGCCUCGGGAAACUGAGAGUAAUACCGUAUACGCCCUUUGGGGGAAAGAUUUAUCGGGGAAGGAUCGGCCCGCGUCUGAUUAGAUAGUUGGUGGGGUAAUGGCCUACCAAGUCUACGAUCAGUAGCUGGUUUUAGAGGAUGAUCAGCAACACUGGGACUGAGACACGGCCCAUACUCCUACGGGAGGCAGCAG